Molecule: ribosomal RNA, 1318 nt
Filed under: metagenome
Description: bacterial LSU rRNA
Rfam family: Bacterial large subunit ribosomal RNA
Source: RNAcentral
GGAUUGGGAGGGUUCUACGGAUCCCGUUUGGUGAAUCUAGUGCCGAGAAAAGCCCUCUAUGUGUUGAAUUUCUAGUACCCGUACCCCAAACCGACACAGGUGGGUGGGUAGAGCAUACCUAGGGGCGCGUGAUAACUCUCUCUAAGGAACUCGGCAAAAUGGCCCUGUAACUUCGGGAUAAGGGGUGCCUGCGUGAGCAGGCCGCAGUGAAAUGGCUCUGGCGACUGUUUACCAAAAACACAGGUCUCUGCUAAGUCGUAAGACGAUGUAUAGGGGCUGACUCCUGCCCAGUGCCGGAAGGUUAAGGAAGUUGGUUAGCGCAAGCGAAGCUGGCGACCGAAGCCCCGGUGAACGGCGGCCGUAACUAUAACGGUCCUAAGGUAGCGAAAUUCCUUGUCGGGUAAGUUCCGACCCGCACGAAAGGAGUAACGAUCAGAGCGCUGUCUCGGAGAGAGACACGGCGAAAUAGGAUUGUCCGUGAAGAUACGGACUACCUGCACCCGGACAGAAAGACCCUAUGAAGCUUUACUGUAACUUGGAAUUGUGUUCGGACUUUGUCUGCGCAGAAUAGGUGGGAGGCUAUGAAACGUUCCUCGCGGGGAACUGGAGCCAUCGUUGAGAUACCACUCUGGCAGAGUCUGGAUUCUAACCUACGGGGACAGUUCCAGGUGGGCAGUUUGACUGGGGCGGUCGCCUCCUAAAAUGUAACGGAGGCGCGCAAAGGUUCCCUCAGGCUGGUUGGAAAUCAGCCAUAGAGUGUAAAAGCAUAAGGGAGCUUGACUGUGAGACCUACAAGUCGAGCAGGGACGUAAGUCGGCUUUAGUGAUCCGACGGCACUGAGUGGAAGGGCCGUCGCUCAACGGAUAAAAGUUACUCUAAGGAUAACAGGCUGAUCUCCCCCAAGAGUUCACAUCGACGGGGAGGUUUGGCACCUCGAUGUCGGCUCGUCGCAACCUGGGGCGGUAGUACGUCCCAAGGGUUGGGCUGUUCGCCCAUUAAAGCGGCACGUGAGCUGGGUUCAGAACGUCGUGAGACAGUUCGGUCCAUAUCCGGUGUAGGCGUAGGAGCAUUGAAAGGAUCUCUCCUAGUACGAGAGGACCGGGAGGGACGUACCUCUGGUGUACCUGUUAUCGUGCCAACGGUAAACGCAGGGUAGCCAUGUACGGAGUGGAUAACCGCUGAAAGCAUCUAAGUGGGAAGCCCACCUUAAGAUGAGUGCUCCCUUGAGGCCACGGGAAGACGACCCGUUUGAUAUGCGCUAGGUGGAAGUGCAGUAAUGCAUGCAGCCGAGGCGUACUAAUAGGCCGAUGGCUUGUUC